Molecule: long non-coding RNA, 299 nt
Organism: Lemur catta (Ring-tailed lemur)
Lineage: Eukaryota; Metazoa; Chordata; Mammalia; Primates; Lemuridae
Exons: 2
Source: RefSeq, a predicted model, not a curated record
UGCAGGUGUCUGGUGGUGGGACUGCACUUUGGCAUGUGCAGGAGACUGUGUGUGGGACCGAGGAAGAGAGGGACGUGACGAUCCAUGUUAAUCCUUGCGAAAGCCCCAGAAGCAGCCUGACCGUGAGAACUCCGGCUAGUUCAGACUUGGAGCCCUGUGGGCUGACAGGAUCAGGAACGGCUUGAAAAAACUCUGCCCAGUUUUGAGCCCUUCAAGACUUUGCCACAGCCUCUAUCACACAUCUGUUUUUCUCGAAGAAACAAAAAUAUAAUAAAAAUGUUUUACUCUUUUACACUGUA